UUACGAAUCAUCAGUGGUAUGAAAUGCCCAUGAUACUAGAGUAAAAAGCUAUGGAGCUUUCAUUUGGAGUGAUUUGAAACAGAUUUCAAGUGAGCAUGUAAUGUUUGUGUAAGAAUACAAGUUUUUAUUUAGUGUAAAAAUGUUGUCAUUCGUCAAAUGAUAGAAAUUGAAACUGAAGGGUUAUGACAGAAUUAAAAUUUUUUCCACGUAUGUAAGGUAGUUGUGUAAGUUUCUCUCAACUAUUCAAAAAAUCAGCCUGUUCCAAAAAUACACGCUGAUUGGACCAACGUGCAACGCGAAAAAUUAGGCCAUCUGCUGGGAUACCGGAUAGAGAGACGUCUAUCAGACGGUCUCGAGACAGGAGACCAUUGAGAUGAUUACGAGGAACCAGAAUGCAGCUAGGAUUACACCGGCUCCAGGCGAAACUCAAGAGCUCGUACCCUGCAAACUCCGAAUUUGCCAUCCAUGCAGGAAUCGUUAGCUCUUCUGUCUGGUCCUUCUAGUUGUCCAACUUUUGAUAACGCUAUGUCUAGUGCCAACAUAACUGCACAACUGAUUAUCAGUUCUCCAGUUCUACCAUGCUCUUACCUGUAUAAUUUACAACUGGAAGCGGCAACAUCUCUAUGAAUAUUCUACAAUUCGAUACUGUAAAUGACUUAAGAGAGGGGCCAAUUCUGCUGGAGCUAUGCCAAGUGACGCCAACCGUUAUAGGUAUGAUCCUUGAUCCUCGAGCUGAAAACCGGCAGCGUUGGAGAGCCGCUUACCCAGCUAUUAGACGACCAAUUUGCAUAUUCUAUCGUCCUGCAAGCGUUAGUAGUUCUGUUAUUGGUGUAACUUCACCCUUCAAAAUGCCUCUGUAAUAUUACGCCCACGCUGUUCGUAGAACUUCUAGAUUGUCAGCGUAGGAAGGUGUCGUAAUAUACAUUACCCAAACACAUGCCUUUGGCAUCUAUAUAUUCGAUUAACUUAUACUAUGAUUAGUUAACCAAUUGGAAUAUCUCUUCUUUGGCUGUACAAGUUUGCAUCCUAAUUUUCCGUUCCCUCAUCGAUUCGAUUACCUAUACAGUAGAAUAAAUGAACGAUUCGUUAAUAACACAGGCCUGUGAUGGUUUUCCCCGCACAAAACUGAUUGUGAGUACAGUAAUUUCGGUAGGUAUUAGAUACGAAUCUGUGAAAAAAAUAUUUUGAAAAUUGUAUCACGUAAAU
Molecule: long non-coding RNA, 1206 nt
Organism: Neodiprion virginianus
Lineage: Eukaryota; Metazoa; Arthropoda; Insecta; Hymenoptera; Diprionidae
Exons: 3
Source: RefSeq, a predicted model, not a curated record